This 1758-nucleotide long non-coding RNA is filed under the name Rattus norvegicus (Norway rat). RNAcentral describes it as "long non-coding RNA NONRATT020866". Lineage: Eukaryota; Metazoa; Chordata; Mammalia; Rodentia; Muridae. The record is from RNAcentral.
CAAAUUUCAACUUUUAAUGUCAGUUACUCUAGCCUGUCCCUUGACUGGCCACUUGGUGUUAUUGUCCAGUGGCAUUUGUCUGCUGUAUGGUUGUUUUCUAUUUUAACUUUUGCUGGCAUUAAAAGGUGUGCAUGUUGAAUGUAGUCUUAAACAGACAGAUGUCCCAGUGUAGUUCUCGCCAUGUUUGCCACCAACAUGACUUCAAGUCAUACCACUUGGUCAGACUUUUCCUUUUAACAAAUGUUCAAAUCUAUAAAUGAUAAACUGUCCUUAAAACCAGAUUGGAGGUGGGGGAGAGGCUGAAGAUGUAGUUGUGUAGCAGAGAACUUGCCUAACAUGUGCAGGUUGAAAUAAGGCAGGUCUAGUGAAAUAGACCUGUAAUCCCAGCUCUUAAAGGCUGUGGCUAGAGGAUGGCGAGUUCAGCCUUGCCUGAGCAUCCUAGUCUCCAAAGUGAAGAGAGAGCUGGGGUAUAGUUCAGUGGUAGAGACCUUGUGCAGCCUCCUUGAGGCUCUAGCUCUAAUCCUUAGUUACCACCAUCACCCCAACCCUCCAAAAAAAAAAAAAAAAAAAAAAAAAAGGAAGGCUUAAUCCACAGUCAAGGUCAGGUGUCAGAAUGCUCAGGUGUUUCAGAUGACCUCAUUUGAUCUCCUAGCAUUCUUUACUGGUCCCUCCUUGGCCUCGUUCCUUAUAUAUUUACCCCUGUUGUGCAGUUCCCUUCACAAAGGUGUAUCAGUGAGUGUUCAGUCCUGGGGUUUCUAGAAUGUGGGCAGCUCUUAUCAGCACCUGUAGCAAAGACACUUGGCAUUUGGGAGGAACAUGCAGAGGCAUUCCCCUUCCCCCAUUAACUUACAGCACUGCCUUAGUUCAAAUGUAAGCCCAGCAUGGUGGCACAGGCCUUUAAUUCCAGCAGAAAGAUAGAUCUCUGAGUUCAAGGCCUGCUUGGUCUAGCUUCAGGCCAAAGGCUAAGUAGUGAGACCCCCAUUAAAAUAGCAAACAAAACCCCAAGAAUGAAUGUGACAAAGGUGAUUGAUACUUGCUGAUGAACAACAUUGACUACCUUUUUCUGUUUUGAGUGCACUGAACUCCGUGAGCCUUAGGACCUGACGUAGACCUUCCCUUUGAGUAGAUGGGUUGCAUGCCCAGUCACGGUAAGCUGACACAGGCUUAGCCCUGGUGCUCAGCUCUGGACCCCUCUCUGUCAGUCUUGGGUUAAACAUACUCUCUAGGUGAAGUGGGACAAGAAGCUUUCUACUGGCUUGACUUAAGUUAGCUGCUCUCAUUGCAUCCUUCCCCUCAGAGUCAGUGGGAACAGCUGCAUGGAUACUGAGUAAUUUAUUGAAAUGCUGCCUCCCUCCACCUCAUUCUGUAGCCUCUGCCCCUUCAUUACUCUAGGCAGGGGAUACUUAUCUCAUUUGACUGUGGGCAGCUUCCCUGGGGCCCUAGCCCCGAAUUGCCAGUCUGCACACAGUAUAUGACAUUGGAUGUUGGUCUCUUGCUAAGGAAGAGAAUGCCCUACGAACUGUCCUGGCCAGUGUCGGAAAGGGGGAUGGUAUUUAUUUUUAUAUUGUAUAUAUUUGUCAUGGUCUUCUGGGUCCCUGCUGUUUCACUGAGAGCGACAAUUACCUCAAUAGUUAGUUUGAUACUGUGUGUUGGAUAACUUUUUGAAAGAACUUUUUAAAAAGCUUUUUUGAUCUUUGGAGAUCUGUAGAUUUAUUUACGUAUGAACUGGUUAUUUUGUAUAAAGUACAUUGUUAAAUU